ACAAACUUGGUCAUUUAGAGGAAGUAAAAGUCGUAACAAGGUCUCCGUUGGUGAACCAGCGGAGGGAUCAUUGCUGGAAGGCGAGCCUAGCUCGCAUCUCCAAAACCCUUUGUGAACUUAUACCUUUAAAAUCGUUGCCUCGGCGUAGGCCGCAAGCCCUCGUGCUUUGCCCUCUGGACCCUCCCGUAGGGACAGAGGAGCAGUCCGCCGGUGGCCUACCAAACUCUUGUUUGUUAGCUGUAUCUUCUGAGUUAUUAACAACAAUAAAUUAAAAACUUUCAACAACGGAUCUCUUGGUUCUGGCAUCGAUGAAGAACGCAGC
Molecule: unclassified non-coding RNA, 322 nt
Filed under: uncultured fungus
Lineage: Eukaryota; Fungi
Description: partial contains small subunit ribosomal RNA, internal transcribed spacer 1, and 5.8S ribosomal RNA
Rfam family: Eukaryotic small subunit ribosomal RNA (bases 1-73)
Source: RNAcentral